GACAGUGUAGCUUAGCGGUAGAGUGCAUGCCUCGCAUGCAGGAGGUCCUGGGUUCAGUCCCUAGUAUGUCC
Molecule: transfer RNA, 71 nt
Filed under: Camelus bactrianus (Bactrian camel)
Lineage: Eukaryota; Metazoa; Chordata; Mammalia; Artiodactyla; Camelidae
Also listed under: 2 other names
Rfam family: tRNA
About the family: Transfer RNA (tRNA) molecules are approximately 80 nucleotides in length.
Source: Rfam by way of RNAcentral